GUAGCUUGCUACUUUGCUGACGAGCGGCGGACGGGUGAGUAAUGCUUGGGAAUAUGCCUUUUGGUGGGGGACAACAGUUGGAAACGACUGCUAAUACCGCAUGAUGUCUACGGACCAAAGUGGGGGACCUUCGGGCCUCACGCCAAAAGAUUAGCCCAAGUGGGAUUAGCUAGUUGGUAAGGUAAUGGCUUACCAAGGCGACGAUCCCUAGCUGGUUUGAGAGGAUGAUCAGCCACACUGGGACUGAGACACGGCCCAGACUCCUACGGGAGGCAGCAGUGGGGAAUAUUGCACAAUGGGCGCAAGCCUGAUGCAGCCAUGCCGCGUGUGUGAAGAAGGCCUUCGGGUUGUAAAGCACUUUCAGUAAGGAGGAAAGGUUAAGUUUUAAUAGAGCUUAGCUGUGACGUUACUUACAGAAGAAGCACCGGCUAACUCCGUGCCAGCAGCCGCGGUAAUACGGAGGGUGCGAGCGUUAAUCGGAAUUACUGGGCGUAAAGCGUACGCAGGCGGUUUGUUAAGCGAGAUGUGAAAGCCCCGGGCUCAACCUGGGAACUGCAUUUCGAACUGGCAAACUAGAGUGUGAUAGAGGGUGGUAGAAUUUCAGGUGUAGCGGUGA
This 616-nucleotide ribosomal RNA is filed under the name Pseudoalteromonas sp. O-002. Its description in RNAcentral is "bacterial SSU rRNA". It matches the Rfam family "Bacterial small subunit ribosomal RNA", at positions 75 to 684 of the family's 1533-position model. Lineage: Bacteria; Pseudomonadati; Pseudomonadota; Gammaproteobacteria; Alteromonadales; Pseudoalteromonadaceae. The record is from RNAcentral.